Molecule: ribosomal RNA, 247 nt
Filed under: uncultured bacterium
Lineage: Bacteria
Description: partial 16S ribosomal RNA
Rfam family: Bacterial small subunit ribosomal RNA
Source: RNAcentral
UAGUGGCGGACGGGUGAGUAACACGUGGGUAACCUGCCUCACAGCUGGGGAUAACAUCGAGAAAUCGAUGCUAAUACCGAAUGUGCUGAACAUCAUAAGAUGUUCAAGUGAAAGACGGUUUCGGCUGUCACUGUGAGAUGGACCCGCGCUGGAUUAGCUAGUUGGUAAGGUAAUGGCUUACCAAGGCGACGAUCCAUAGCCGACCUGAGAGGGUGAUCGGCCACAUUGGGACUGAGACACGGCCCAA